Molecule: long non-coding RNA, 4255 nt
Filed under: Bemisia tabaci
Lineage: Eukaryota; Metazoa; Arthropoda; Insecta; Hemiptera; Aleyrodidae
Description: lncRNA ENSSSA1UGG003856
Source: RNAcentral
AAUCGCUUCCGUGGUGAAUCACCUAUGUCGCUGGCAUCUAAAGUUACCCUCGGUCUUGCAGUUGCAGGAUGUAUUGGAACAUUUUUUUACGUGACAGCUACUCAAGAAUUAGACAGAAUGAGAAUGCAUGAAGGAGUAUUGCGAGAUAUAGAAAAUCAAAAAAGGAAAAGGCAACUUGCUUCAGAGCAAGAAGCUGGAAAUUCGAAAGAAGGAUUUUCUUUAGCAAAAACUUAAUCAACAUAAUUCACAAUGGAGGAGAGUACAGAUAGUAGAAUUACUGAAAUUGAGAAUCUUUCUCAGAAAUUUGGUGCUUAUUGUAUAGAAGAUGAUACCCCACUGAUUCUAUCCAGCAAAUCUGAAAUUGCAGUUGAUGCAAAAUUAAACUGCAGUCUAUUUGACUUUCAAAGGAGAGGAAUCCAGCAGAUGUUUCAAUCUUUCACAAAUGGCUCAGGUGCAAUAAUUAAUGAUGUCCCAGGCUCAGGGAAAAAGGUUCAGGUUGUCGCCUUCAUCUCAGCUCUGAUUUCAACCCAACGGCGGACUGAGUCAGGUGAAUUCUUCUCAGCCAGAGUUUAUCCUGCUCUAAUAAUUUGUCCUAGAGCUAAAAUUCAUGUAUGGGAAAGUCGCAUUAAACAGUGGAGCUCUCUGAAGCACUCAGUUUGCUUGGACUUAGAUAUAAGCAAGGCAGCAGAUUCUACAGAUGUAGUUUUGUUUCCCUUUGAUCUCCUGGCCAAGUCUGUUGUCAAUGUGGCUAAACGCAAGUGGACAGUUUUGUUUGUAGAUAAUAUAGAAGUUAUCACACUGAAACAGAAGUAUGAACUUCUACUGCAUCACUUGCCACGAGACCCUCGAUUUGGAAUAUCCUCCAAAAUUUUGGAUGACAGUGAAACUUUGGCAACCAUUGUUGGUUGGGCCUCUCCUUCUUACUAUGAACAAUUCAAGAGAGACAGAUCAAACAUCCUCUCUUUCAUCAAACAAUUUGAUAGCAAGUCGGGACCAAAAGCUGACCAAAUUCGAGGUCUACAUCUGAAAGCAAAUCUUUUAAGCAUACGAAAUGAAGUCUUCAUUAAAAGAGAUGGGAGAAUUCCUGAAGCCUUGCUGGAUAUACCAAGGGAUUCAGAAGAAGUAGAUUUUGAUCUCCACCCAAGUACAUCUCAAGCCAAGAGAGCUCCUCCAAAAGCAAAUAAGAGAAGGUCGAAUGAAAAAGUCAAACCAAAAGUGAAAUCUCCUCGACUCAAUUCGAGAGACAGAGCUCCAACUCAUGAUAUUUCAGAUGAUGAUGGUGACAUCGAAGAUAAUGAUGGUGGUGGCGACUACUCAGCCAGGACUAAAAAAGGUCCAGCAACAAAUGAGGAAGACAAAGUUUUUCGUAGACUUCCAAGAAGAGUAAGGGCAGAAAGCAAUGAUUCAGAAGCUCCAUCAAGUGUUGAGGCAAAGCCAUCUACUUCCUCAGAAUCCAGAUCAAUGGAUAGAUCUCCUGAACCACAGCCUUCCUGUUCAAGAUCAUCAAAAACAGAAGAGCUAAAGUCUGAUUUUGGACCUUCAAGUACAUCUGACAUCAAUCACAAUUCAGACUACGAUAAACUAGAUGCCUUAUUCUUCUCUUCAACUAAAGUUUUGAAGUCGCCUAAAAAAUCCAGAAAAAGAGCUUCUCCGUCAAAACAAGAACAAACCAAUACAGAGUUUUCUGAUACUAGAGAAAGCUCAGAUGUUGCCGAUACUCAGGCAAGUAUGGGUGUUUUCGGAGACUUCCGAACUCAACAAUUGGAACUGUUAAAUUCGGUAUUCCUCAAAACUCCUCCAGUAUCAAAACCUCCACCAUCAAAAUUUAAAAGUUUCACUCAGGCAUCGCAGAAGACAAAAACUGUUCGUGAGCGUAUCGAUGGAAAAUUAUCUGAGACAGAUAAAGAAUCUACAAUCAGUCAGGAUUUGGACUCGUUCUUUGAAAGUCAAACCAAGAAACCACCUCCUCGGAAACCAGGAGACUCCAAGAUCUUUUGUUCUCAGCGACCGGAGGAUUUGUUGGACGAUAUUCUUUUCUCCCAGCCUGUCGUGCGAAAAGGUCCUCCAAAGAAGAAGUUCUUCACUCAGUCGGCUGCUCUUUCCGAUGCUGGGUCAUCUUCAAGGCAACCAAUGCAACCACUCAAGAACCAAGCUGUAAAACCGGAUCAAAAUUCUCCGCUUUUUGAUUGAUUUAUAUUUAUAUGUUAAGAAAUAAAUCUGUCAAUCUAGUCAGACUUUUAAGGGGAAAAACACCAUCAUCUUUUCCAACAAUUUUUACCAACUCUUUUAAUUUUAAUGUAUGUGCUAGAUUGCAUGAGUUUUUACAUAUCUAAUGGUUUUAUGGGAGGUUUACAGGCAAUUAAUUGAUACCUUUUUUUCACUCUAAUUUUAUAAUGUUUUAAUCGGUUGAGAACUAGAUGUUCUGUGCUUGAGUUUUAGGUAUUAAAUAUAUCCGCAGGAUUUGAAGAAUGUACGUCAUUAAAUCAGGAGUCUUCGUAGUUUGUGUGCGCUAUUUUAACCAGAGGAAACUGAUUUACCAAAUUUGAUAAUCUACUCCUAAUUUUUAUUUCCUUGUUAUUUAGUCAUUAAUCAAUACUUACCGAAUUUGUUAUUCAAAGGCUAAGGCUCAUGUGCUCUUAUUACCAAUUUUCUAAUUCCAGAAUUCUUUAGGCAUGAUGAAAACAAGAAAAUACAAGUUUCUUCAUUUUGAGUGCCUUGCUUGCACUAAUUGUAUCUCGUAUUGACUGGUAACGUACUAAGUUUUUUUAUCUCUAACAAAGAUUGUUCCUCUUAUCAUUUUGGCAAUAUUCGAAAUAAAAAACUCAAUUCUUAUUCUUUUCGAAGACUGGUCCUGUAUUCAGUCCCUUUAAUUUCAUUUAAGAUAGCUCUUACUUCAUUUUAAUUUAGCAACAUACGCAAUAGGUAAUUUAAAAUUUAUAUAUUUACCCCUCUGUAACUGGCUUAUCGACGGUGAAACUACCAAACCACGUAUCUCGGUUUGCGACGUUGUAGACUUCCUGUCAUACUUUAUUUUUUAAAUGAAAAACUACUUAACGUCCAGUCUUGAAAAUUUCUGUGAUUUUUCCUCUUCGUGCAGAGAAAUUCUGUGAAAAUUUCAAGAAAUGAUAUUGAUUUGGUCUAUUUCAAAAAAAUAAUAUGUGAGCGUAGAUUUUUAAACACCGCAAACGAGAUACGUGGUUUGGUAGUUUCACCGUCGUUAUGUAUUUCUAACUUGAAUUCAACUUUCAACUAAGUUCUUAUUUUUUGUUUGUUUUUAGAAGUAGCACCAUGUAAUAUUUUCUCUUCGAUUUGUUCAAGAAUUCCUCAAGUGGGUUGGAUAUCCGUUAUUUUUGAACUUUUUAAACAUAAGUGAAGGUAUAUUAGUGUAGAAAAUGUAAUUAUUUUUCUGAGUUAUUGUAAAUUUUUAUAUUUUUUUUAAUUAGAAAAUUUUUGAUCAAUUUAAAGGUCAUCUUUUUAUUCUAAGAAUGAAGAUUUACCCUCAGCGAAAACCCUGGGGGAAGUUUCCUAAAAGUUUUAAUUUCUUUGAAAGAUUAUUCGUGAGCAAGUUAUAGUUUCCACUGGUCAUCCACCAUUAUUGCAGUUAUCAUUAUUCAAUGGCCGUUUUUAAAUCAAAAGGAACCACACCCAAUGUGAUGUGAGCCUUGUUUUCCAUGUAUUCAGAUUGAUCUCAUGGCUGAGAUGUCUUAGUGGAGCUAUUUUCCCUUUUGAUUUAAAUGUGUAGGUACUCACCUACGUCCAGUUGAUCUACUUUAGUCACCGAUAUUAGUUGAGAAAAAAUAAGCGCUGUUUUUUAGUUAAUGUCAGUGUAUUUGUACAGGUAUAAACAUUGUACAAAAUAUUAUUACAAUGUGGAAAGAACUCGUAUUUCAUAAUGAGUACGUAAUUAAAAAUGAGACAAUGAAAAAAGAGGAACAACUGCUGGAAAUAAUGUACCUACUUUCUUGACAGAUGGAUAAUCUAUGAAAAUGAAGAAGUUCUUUUUAUGAUGCAGUAAUUGAAGCUUCAGAAAUGGUUUGAAAGGUUCAGAAUGAUUGGAAAAUCAUGGCUCUUAUCCGUAUUGUUUUCUCUUUAAUGUAAGAAAGUAUGACAAUAUUUAUUUCCAUGUAAGUACCUACAAGGAACAGUUCACCAGAAAUAAGUUAGGAGUUCCCAAUGUUCCUUUUAUGUAGUGUGAAUUUGUCUCUUGAUCUCUACAUAUUUUUUUUCAACACAGGUGCAAGGCGGAUAAAGAAUG